This 130-nucleotide ribosomal RNA is filed under the name Cronobacter sakazakii. RNAcentral's name for it is "partial 16S ribosomal RNA". It matches the Rfam family "Bacterial small subunit ribosomal RNA", at positions 1 to 121 of the family's 1533-position model. Lineage: Bacteria; Pseudomonadati; Pseudomonadota; Gammaproteobacteria; Enterobacterales; Enterobacteriaceae. The record is from RNAcentral.
UUUAAUUGAAGAGUUUGAUCAUGGCUCAGAUUGAACGCUGGCGGCAGGCCUAACACAUGCAAGUCGAACGGUAACAGGGAGCAGCUUGCUGCUCUGCUGACGAGUGGCGGACGGGUGAGUAAUGUCUGGG